This 407-nucleotide ribosomal RNA is filed under the name uncultured beta proteobacterium. RNAcentral's name for it is "bacterial SSU rRNA". It matches the Rfam family "Bacterial small subunit ribosomal RNA", at positions 9 to 418 of the family's 1533-position model. The record is from RNAcentral. Lineage: Bacteria; Pseudomonadati; Pseudomonadota; Betaproteobacteria.
GAGUUUGAUCUUGGCUCAGAUUGAACGCUGGCGGAAUGCUUUACACAUGCAAGUCGAGCGGCAGCGCGGGGGCAACCCUGGCGGCGAGCGGCGAACGGGUGAGUAAUACAUCGGAACAUGUCCAGUUGUGGGGGAUAGCCCGGCGAAAGCCGGAUUAAUACCGCAUGAGCUCGAGAGAGGAAAGCGGGGGACCGUAAGGCCUCGCGCGACUGGGUUGGCCGAUGUCCGAUUAGCUAGUUGGUGGGGUAAAGGCCUACCAAGGCGAUGAUCGGUAGCUGGUCUGAGAGGAUGAUCAGCCACACUGGGACUGAGACACGGCCCAGACUCCUACGGGAGGCAGCAGUGGGGAAUUUUGGACAAUGGGGGAAACCCUGAUCCAGCCAUUCCGCGUGAGUGAAGAAGGCCUU